AUAAAAGCUAUGAAAAGAAAUAGUAGCAAUCAUGUAAACAUAACAGAAAGUUACCGGUUGAUGAGAGGUGCAUGUUGAACGAUAGCGAAUUCAUCUUGGAGCUGUGUACUGAAUAGGGAAUCCUUAGUAGGCUACACCGGUCAAGCACCCGUCAUCUUGUGCUAAAGUAUCGUCAUUUGACUGUACUUGCUAAGGUAAGUAAUGGAAGUUGCUUAUGAAUAUAAGGUGGUAACACGAGUUGAAUCGUCCUUUUG
This 254-nucleotide non-coding RNA is filed under the name Ureibacillus sinduriensis. RNAcentral's name for it is "Lysinibacillus sinduriensis T-box sequence". It matches the Rfam family "T-box leader". From Rfam's summary of the family: Uncharged tRNA acts as the effector for transcription antitermination of genes in the T-box leader family. Lineage: Bacteria; Bacillati; Bacillota; Bacilli; Caryophanales; Caryophanaceae. The record is from RNAcentral.